Molecule: ribosomal RNA, 507 nt
Filed under: uncultured bacterium
Lineage: Bacteria
Description: bacterial SSU rRNA
Rfam family: Bacterial small subunit ribosomal RNA
Source: RNAcentral
GACGAACGCUGGCGGCGUGGAUUAGGCAUGCAAGUCGAACGGUAUCAUCCUUUCGGGGGUGAGAGAGUGGCGAACUGGUGAGUAACACGUAGGUUAUCUACCCUCAAGACGGGGACAACCCAGGGAAACUUGGGCUAAUACCGGAUGUGAGCAACUUUUAGUUGUUUGAAAGGUGGCGUAAGCUGUCGCUUGGGGAUGAGCCUGCGUCUUAUUAGUUAGUUGGUGAGGUAACGGCUCACCUAGGCAAUGAUAGGUAGGCGGCCUUAACGGGUGGUCGCCCACACUGGGAUUGAGAUACGGCCCAGACUCCUACGGGAGGCAGCAGUCGAGAAUAGUCUACAAUGGUCGGAAGACUGAUAGUGCGACGCCGCGUGAACGAUGAAUCCCUUCGGGGUGUAAAGUUCUUUUAUAUGUGAGCAGUGCUUCUUAUAUUAACAGUAUGGGGAAGAGAUAUUAGCAUAUGAAUAAGCAACGGCUAACUCCGUGCCCAGCAGCCGCGGUAAUCAA